GGCGGACGUAGCCAAGC
This 17-nucleotide transfer RNA is filed under the name Psilotum nudum. Its description in RNAcentral is "partial tRNA-His". Lineage: Eukaryota; Viridiplantae; Streptophyta; Polypodiopsida; Psilotales; Psilotaceae. The record is from RNAcentral.